GCUGGGUGCAGUGGUGUGUGCCUGUAAUCCCUGCUACACAGGAGGCUGAGGUGGGAGGAUUGCUUGAGCCCAGGAGUUUGAGACUUUGAGUCUAUCCAGGGCAACAAAGCAAGACCCUGUCUCAA
This 125-nucleotide non-coding RNA is filed under the name Nomascus leucogenys (northern white-cheeked gibbon). The record is from Rfam by way of RNAcentral. Lineage: Eukaryota; Metazoa; Chordata; Mammalia; Primates; Hylobatidae.